CUCUGCCCUUAACCUAACAAACAGCAGCAAGCACCAACAAUUCCAAAUCGCAACAACAUUCUUUGAUAACCCAUAAUAAUUUCAACCCGAACAGAACCAGCUCCAAAUACUCCAAUCUCAACCACCCAAAGACCCGACCCUAUAUCCGAUUUACACCACAAACAACCAACAUCGACCAACGCAGUACCUGAAUCCAACCUAUUAUCUUUUUCCUCUUUAUGAUCACGUGCGUUCCACGCGAAUCCAUACGAGAAGAUGCCGAGAAUCUUCUAGAAACACACUUAGGUGUCUCAUACAAUGUUCAAAUCCCAAAAUUCUUGGAUAGAAGUGUACGAAUUCAUACAUAGGUGGAGUAUUUUCAUUGGAUUUUGGAAGAUUAUUCUUCUCCCCCAUUUUCUAUUGGUUGAUUCUUCUAUUUACAAUGGAUUUUGGUGGUUUUUGUUGGGGGGAAAUCCUUUUCCUGAGCGGGAAUCCAAGGGAAAGCUUUUUCCAAUUUUGCUAAAACCUCUCAAAACUACCCCCAUUCAUAUUUUGUUCCACGCCAGCUGAAGCCCUAAAAACCCCUAGCCUCUUCUCUAUGUAAAGGCUAGUUUUGCAAGCAAAAGGGGGAUUUUUUCUCCACUAGCAUCUCCUUUCCUUUCUGGGUUCAAAAGCUUAGAGAGAUUUUGGGUCCGAAAGGAGAGGGUUUUGGAAAAACUGAGGGAGAGAAAAUUUGGGAUAGAGAAAAAAAAAGGGCACUCAAGAAAACACUCUUCACACAAAAAUAUACAUAUUCUGAAACAGUGUGUCUGAAUUGUCGAAGCAGCUGUGAGGUUUUCUGGUGUUCGGAAUCCUUUUGUCCACUCGUUGUCCUAUUUUGCUGCUCCAAAAUAGUCUCAGGUGGAUGGUGACCCGCUGUAGCUGAUGUUUUGUUAAAGUUUUUGUUUGGUUAGUUUCGAACUGAUGGUAUCUAGUUAUGGCCGAUUUCAUGGCUCUAAGUCUCAUGAUUCUAAUUUCAGAUUGAUGGUGUCUUGUUCGUUGUUCGUAUUUGACGUCGUCUUGUUCGUCUUCAUUAGUCCGGUGUUUGUAGUAUAUUGUCUUCCAUCUUAGUUCAAGCUUCUCUUGGAUUCCUUCCAUAUGAGUUACGUGGUUUUCGAAGUUUUGAAUCAGAUGUUAGAAACUGUUGGUUCAUUUUCUUGGUAAACUUUAAUGUCCAAGCAGAUCAGUUUUAUCUUUGUGAGAACUAUAAGGCAUCUGUUUCUUGUUUGUUUUGUUUUUCUUUUCCAUUUUUUUUAAGUUAUUGAGUAUUGAGAUAUACGUGCAAUUUGUAUGAUAAGAAAAAAUGUGCAUUUCAUUCAAGGCCGAAUCCUUAUUUCUAGAUGAAUUUGUUUAAUUUUUCAUUCUAUGAUUGGGAGUAAUAUGUUUCCUUUAAGAACGUCUAGCGUUCUCUCCCGUUUAUUUUUUCAUGAUUAGGUUAUCAUUAGUGAUUUUCGUGCGCAUUGAAGUUUUCUUUUACUUGGGUUGAUUUUGCGUAUAAAUAUUGCCCUACCUAUCUAGGAUCCCUAUCCUUUAAACCUUUGAAAUUUUAAAGUAACUACACUGAGCACAAGUCCAAUAGAGUUCUUAAGUCAUUUUGUCUUUCUUUGAGGUCGGUAAACUUGCUCGUCCUUUUAAAUGUCCGGUUUUGACUAUUUUCUUUUAAGUUCAAUUUCUAACCGGUUAUACUCCUUUUAACUUAAUGAAUCAAAGUUUUUCCUAAAAUUGAUUUGAUAUUAUAUUUUUGUAGUGUUGCUAUUUGGAUAGUGAUAACUUAGUUUACUUUUGAUUAAUCACAGAUAGAACAAAGUUUAUCUUAUCUUGUUUGAUUUGUAUAAAGCCGGUGAUCUGAAUAUCUAUAGGACCCUAAUCUUUUUCCUUCUUCCUUUUGCAUUUCAAAUGUUUUGGAUUCCAUUAUGGACUCCCUCCCAUUGCAUUUACGAAUGGACCAAUGAGGUCUACCUCCUCAAAGUUUAUAUCCGAAAUCAAUCAGAUGGUGUGAGAUGCAUUGAUGCAAGAAGAUGGAAGAAGAAAAAUGGGUUAAAGUGUCCCAUCUUCGAAGUAGCUAAGAGACUUAAAAGUCUCACUUUUUAUCUCAUUUUAUUUAUUUAUUGUCAUCUUUUAUUUAUUUAUUCAUUUAUUUAUUCCUUUAUUCAUUCAUACGGGCCACGAAGCCAAAGUUGUAUUUAAUACAGGUGUUACAGAUUUUGGGCCGACGGAUCUAAAAAAAGGAAAUAGUUUAGGAUAGGUACAAAUGGGCCAAAAUCCCAAUGAGGUUUGGGCCUAAUGGCCAAAAUCUUUUACUUUCUCCCCU
This is a long non-coding RNA of Capsicum annuum, 2329 nucleotides long. RefSeq lists it as uncharacterized. The record is from RefSeq and is a predicted model, not a curated record. The transcript is spliced from 2 exons. Lineage: Eukaryota; Viridiplantae; Streptophyta; Magnoliopsida; Solanales; Solanaceae.